Molecule: ribosomal RNA, 837 nt
Filed under: Curtobacterium sp.
Lineage: Bacteria; Bacillati; Actinomycetota; Actinomycetes; Micrococcales; Microbacteriaceae
Description: bacterial SSU rRNA
Rfam family: Bacterial small subunit ribosomal RNA
Source: RNAcentral
UGCAGUCGACGAUGAUCAGGAGCUUGCUCCUGUGAUUAGUGGCGAACGGGUGAGUAACACGUGAGUAACCUGCCCCUGACUCUGGGAUAAGCGUUGGAAACGACGUCUAAUACUGGAUAUGACUUCCGGCCGCAUGGUCUGGUUGUGGAAAGAUUUUUUGGUUGGGGAUGGACUCGCGGCCUAUCAGCUUGUUGGUGAGGUAAUGGCUCACCAAGGCGACGACGGGUAGCCGGCCUGAGAGGGUGACCGGCCACACUGGGACUGAGACACGGCCCAGACUCCUACGGGAGGCAGCAGUGGGGAAUAUUGCACAAUGGGCGAAAGCCUGAUGCAGCAACGCCGCGUGAGGGAUGACGGCCUUCGGGUUGUAAACCUCUUUUAGUAGGGAAGAAGCGAAAGUGACGGUACCUGCAGAAAAAGCACCGGCUAACUACGUGCCAGCAGCCGCGGUAAUACGUAGGGUGCAAGCGUUGUCCGGAAUUAUUGGGCGUAAAGAGCUCGUAGGCGGUUUGUCGCGUCUGCUGUGAAAUCCCGAGGCUCAACCUCGGGCUUGCAGUGGGUACGGGCAGACUAGAGUGCGGUAGGGGAGAUUGGAAUUCCUGGUGUAGCGGUGGAAUGCGCAGAUAUCAGGAGGAACACCGAUGGCGAAGGCAGAUCUCUGGGCCGUAACUGACGCUGAGGAGCGAAAGCAUGGGGAGCGAACAGGAUUAGAUACCCUGGUAGUCCAUGCCGUAAACGUUGGGCGCUAGAUGUAGGGACCUUUCCACGGUUUCUGUGUCGUAGCUAACGCAUUAAGCGCCCCCGCCUGGGGAGUACGGGCCGCAAGCUAAAACUCAA